Molecule: ribosomal RNA, 505 nt
Filed under: uncultured bacterium
Lineage: Bacteria
Description: partial 16S ribosomal RNA
Rfam family: Bacterial small subunit ribosomal RNA
Source: RNAcentral
GACGAACGCUGGCGGCGUGCCUAAUACAUGCAAGUAGAACGCACAGUUUAUACCGUAGCUUGCUACACCAUAGACUGUGAGUUGCGAACGGGUGAGUAACGCGUAGGUAACCUGCCUGGUAGCGGGGGAUAACUAUUGGAAACGAUAGCUAAUACCGCAUAAUAUUAAUUAUUGCAUGAUAAUUAAUUGAAAGGUGCAAUUGCACCACUACCAGAUGGACCUGCGUUGUAUUAGCUAGUAGGUGAGGUAACGGCUCACCUAGGCGACGAUACAUAGCCGACCGGAGAGGGUGAUCGGCCACCCUGGGACUGAGACACGGCCCAGACUCCUACGGGAGGCAGCAGUAGGGAAUCUUCGGCAAUGGACGAAAGUCUGACCGAGCAACGCCGCGUGAGUGAAGAAGGUUUUCGGAUCGUAAAGCUCUGUUGUAAGAGAAGAACGGGUGUGAGAGUGGAAAGUUCACACUGUGACGGUAUCUUACCAGAAAGGGACGGCUAACUACGUG